CACAACGGGGUGGGUUCCCCGCCACAAUUCCUGGCCUUUCUUUCUGGCAUCCAAGGACUAGCGUCCCUCAGAGCUGAGAGGCUGAGUAAGGAACGUGGUAAGGACUUCUGAGCUCUCUCUGUGAGAUCUGGGACUUAGCACACCUACGUGGUCCAGGCAAAAGUUGGAGCAGAGAAGCGGAAGAAUCCCAUGGCUCUGAGUUGGCCUUCAUCUGGAAAAUGAGGCACCAAGUCUCCAGUUCUUACUUGAUCUCUCAAAAGAAAUAACAAGUGUGCUCCAGGCAGGCCCAGCCUGCCAAACAGAAGCUGAGGACAGCAGUGAGUGUGGCCCAACACAAAAUGGCUCCAGCUUUCCACAGCCAGGCUGUCCUUAGGAGCCACCACGUCCCCGGAGGCACGAAGGCCCACGACCGUCACUUCCUCCCCCAAGCAAGUCUGCAGAGGACCUAACACAGCCCUCCAAAGCCAAAGCAGCCUUCUCCUUAUCCACAGUGAAAUCAGCUGGGCCAGAAAACAGCUCCGCACAUCCGGCUGUUGGAGCCUGUCUGGGCUGGACACAGCUCUGGUCUUCCUCAUGAACGGUCUCCCCAUGGCUCUUCCUCUCCCUGGCCUGGCUGGGGCUCUAGUGACAGUUGCAGGAGGGAUGUUUUGGUCAAAGGGCACUAAGCAUCGUUUAUUAUCCCAGGAUUCCCCUGGGCAUUUACUGUGCCUGUCUUCCAUUGCUACCAGACUCAGAGAUGAGGGAAACAGACUCAAACAGCACGCGGUGUGGGGAGAGCAGGGAGGAAGUCUGGAUGAAUCACAGUGCGGUGCCCUAAAGCCUGGUUGAAGAGGCCCAGAGCAACAAGAGGGCAUCUGUGAUUCUGAGCAAGAAAGGAGCCUCUCGUCUGUGCUGUGGAGAACUGGGCUGGUAUUCCUGCCGUGAGUUGAAUGGUGGCCCUCAAGGAGGUUGGCCUAUGGGAGAGGAACAGACACAGGCAAAUCAUGCAACAUCAAGAAAAGUUGGAGGCAGACACAGGACAAGAAACGUGUGAGGUGUGAGCCCUGGAAGCUAUGAGAGGCAGGCAGUGUCUCUCCAGAGACUGUGGAGAGAACACCGUGCUGUUUGCACCUGGUUUUCAGGCUUUUGCCUCCAGAACGUCUCAAGGAGAGAUGCCCGCUGUCUGAGGCACUGGUUUUGUGGUUGUUCAUCAUGACAGUCACAGAGAACAAAUACCACUCCUGCAUCUGUUACAGUCACUGUCAGGACAAACUGGUGACCAACAGAGAGUUAGGACUGCGAGUAUCUUAUAGUGUCACAGCCUCUCUGUGAACCUGUGUUUAUGGAAGAGAGACAACUUGGGAAGGAUGAGAGGACACAGGUGUCCUUAGCUACUCUGCAUACACCCCAUGAGCGUAAGUCUGUGACAUCUUUCUUUGUUGUCCCUGGGAUGAAGAGAGGUUGCUUGGUCCAGUGGCAACACCAAUGCUCAAUCUCAUCUUCUGCAAAAUAAGAGCAAAAAUAAA
Mus caroli (Ryukyu mouse) is the source of this 1505-nucleotide long non-coding RNA. RefSeq lists it as uncharacterized. NCBI's taxonomy places the organism in Eukaryota, Metazoa, Chordata, Mammalia, Rodentia, Muridae. The record is from RefSeq and is a predicted model, not a curated record.